This 362-nucleotide ribosomal RNA is filed under the name Paguropsis andersoni. RNAcentral's name for it is "partial 12S ribosomal RNA". Lineage: Eukaryota; Metazoa; Arthropoda; Malacostraca; Decapoda; Diogenidae. The record is from RNAcentral.
CAGUAUACUUUUCUAUAAGUCGAUUAAGCUGGAUUAUUAGUAGAUAAGUUCUUGAAAUUCAAAGAAUUUGGCGGCACCUUAAUCUUAUUAGAGGAACCUGUUUUAUAAACGAUAAACCACGAAAAAUCUUACUUACUUUAAAUAGUUUGUAUACCGUCAUUAUUAGAUGAUUUUUAAAGAAAAUAAUCAUUUAAAUUAACAAGUAGUUAAGUAUAUUAGAUCAAGGUGCAGUUCAUAGGUAAGAAAAAAUGGGUUACAAUAAAUUAAUUUAUACGGAAAGAUUUCUUAAAAUAAAACGGUAAGGCGGAUUUAAUUGUAUAUAAAUUUUAACAAGUUUAAUAGAAAUUAGCUCUGAGGUGUGU